GACGAACGCUGGCGGCGUGCUUAACACAUGCAAGUCGAACGGAGAGGCGCCUUCCUUUUUGGUCGGUUUUUAGGAGUGGCGGACGGGGUAGUAACAGGUGAGUAACCUUCUCCCUUCUUCUUAAUAACCGCAUGAAAGUGUUGCUAAUACGGGAUAUUCUGGAUCUGUCGCAUGAUGGGUCUGGGACAGUUUUUGUUUCAGUUGUGGAUGGGGUCGCGCCGUAUCAGCUUGUUGGUGAGGUGAUGGCCUACCAAGGCGAUGACGGGUAGCCGGCCUGAGAGGGUCGACGGUACCAGAGGGAAGGAGCCGCCGAGACGACUACUACGGGAGGCAGUAGUGGGUAAUACUGCACGAUGGGAGGAAGGAUGAUGCAGCGCCGCGGCGUGAGUGAUGGAGUCCUUAGGGUUGUGAACUUCUUUCGCGAGUGAAGAAGGCUUGCAUCGUCUGUGGGUGGGUUGACGGUAGCUGGAUAAGAAGCGACGGCUAACUACGUG
Molecule: ribosomal RNA, 494 nt
Filed under: uncultured bacterium
Lineage: Bacteria
Description: partial 16S ribosomal RNA
Rfam family: Bacterial small subunit ribosomal RNA
Source: RNAcentral